GAUGAACGCUGGCGGCGUGCCUAAUACAUGCAAGUCGAGCGAACAGAUGAGGAGCUUGCUCCUCUGACGUUAGCGGCGGACGGGUGAGUAACACGUGGAUAACCUACCUAUAAGACUGGGAUAACUUCGGGAAACCGGAGCUAAUACCGGAUAAUAUAUUGAACCGCAUGGUUCAAUAGUGAAAGACGGUUUUGCUGUCACUUAUAGAUGGAUCCGCGCCGCAUUAGCUAGUUGGUAAGGUAACGGCUUACCAAGGCGACGAUGCGUAGCCGACCUGAGAGGGUGAUCGGCCACACUGGAACUGAGACACGGUCCAGACUCCUACGGGAGGCAGCAGUAGGGAAUCUUCCGCAAUGGGCGAAAGCCUGACGGAGCAACGCCGCGUGAGUGAUGAAGGUCUUCGGAUCGUAAAACUCUGUUAGUAGGGAAGAACAAAUGUGUAAGUAACUAUGCCCGUCUUGACGGUACCUAAUCAGAAAGCCACGGCUAACUACGUG
Molecule: ribosomal RNA, 497 nt
Filed under: uncultured bacterium
Lineage: Bacteria
Description: partial 16S ribosomal RNA
Rfam family: Bacterial small subunit ribosomal RNA
Source: RNAcentral